ACUCCUACGGGAGGCAGCAGUGGGGAAUAUUGCACAAUGGGGGAAACCCUGAUGCAGCCAUGCCGCGUGUGUGAAGAAGGCCUUGGGUUGUAAAGCACUUUCAGUAGGGAGGAAGGUAGUGUAGUUAACACCUGCACUAUUUGACGUUACCUACAGAAGAAGCACCGGCUAACUCCGUGCCAGCAGCCGCGGUAAUACGGAGGGUGCGAGCGUUAAUCGGAAUUACUGGGCGUAAAGCGCAUGCAGGCGGCCUGUUAAGUCAGAUGUGAAAGCCCGGGGCUUAACCUCGGAAUUGCAUUUGAAACUGGCAGGCUAGAGUCUUGUAGAGGGGUUAGAAUUUCAGGUGUAGCGGUGAAAUGCGUAGAGAUCUGAAGGAAUACCAGUGGCGAAGCGGCCCCUGGACAAAGACUGACGCUCAGAUGCGAAAGCGUGGGAGCAAACAGGAUUAGAUACCCCUGGUAGCACAGAG
This 469-nucleotide ribosomal RNA is filed under the name uncultured bacterium. RNAcentral describes it as "bacterial SSU rRNA". It matches the Rfam family "Bacterial small subunit ribosomal RNA", at positions 335 to 799 of the family's 1533-position model. The record is from RNAcentral.